ACAAAUAGUCCGCUGUAUGAUUAGCUAGCUAGUGGAGCGAAAGCGGUGAUCUGAAACGUCAAACGUCUAAUUCACCAACCGAACAACCAGUAGCUUCCGUUUUCAGAGUAGCAUAUUCGAUUAUGUUAAUUGCAUAAACUUGACUAUGAACUUUAAAUAGGGCUGAACAUAGUAUAUAUUUUUUUAAACGACCAUCUCAUUCUUUACCACGACUUUAUCACGUAUUUCGAUCAUUUCCACGAUAGUACUCACUGUUUUUCUCAACAACUUCUUCUUUUUAACUCAAUGGUAAACCUCUUCUAACAAAUGGCACAUACUGCCACCUAGUGUAGACUAGGGGUGUUCUACAAACCUGUUCCGAGGGGAACACACCCCUCCCGUAAUGAAAGUGGCGUUGGAGUAAACUCUAGUAGCUAGCAAAUACCCUAACGCUAACUCCUCCUCCCCACUCCCAGACACUGUCCUCUUAUUACGGGAUGUGCUCGUUAUUUAUUUGAUUACAGUGUUUGUCUACUACUUCAUCUGCCAAAACAAUGAGUAGAAAGUGCUGUCUCAUUCACAUUACAUACUUCAUAGGAGCUGAAUCAGACAGACAAACAUCUGUCCCUGAACUCUACACACCAGCUGACAAAGCCUACACAGGUAUAAUUCAAAUAAUGCAUGUCACAACAAGAGGCCCAGCACUUCAAGCCAAGCCUCCCCCUCCUCUCUCCCCACCAGCAAAAUGUACAUCGCAUCUCACGCCCAACCUGGUCUCAGGUAUUCCGAGGAAGGAAGAUGGCCCAUGUGGAAUGAUGACAGCUUCCUGCAGAGUCACAUACAGGUUGAUACAGUUCAGUUGUUGGUGGUAACAUGCAACACAGCACUGCUUGCUUCAGUAAAUCUUAAAAUCUACCAAUUUGAUGACCCGGUUGGAGGCAUUUCCUUUUGAUGUUCUGUAUUAUGGCAUACUUCAUGUUUUGUGGGGACCCCAGGAUGAGUAGCUGCUGCUUUCACAACAGCCAAAGGGGAUCCUAAUAAAAUACCACAUUGCAAAAUAACCUUGUGUGGAGUGAGGAGCCAUAAGUAUGUUGGGUCGUCAUAGUUGUGGCUUGAGAUAUGCUAAAUAGGCAGUCUUAAAUUAACCAACCAAAACGAGGAAGAAGAGAACAGAGAGAACUCCUUCCGAUUCUAGAACACUGGGAAUUAAAAUAACAUUCUGUCUAAUUCAGCAUUCUAUUAUACCACCAGCCCAUGUGACAUCUACAGACAUGGGCUAUAUUUAAUGUUAUAAUAGGAAAAACUAUAGAGAAGAGCAGUUGAGAGGAGAGGAUAGGAGGGAAGAGUGGGGAGGCGGGGAGAGAGGAGGGAAGAGAAGAGAGGAGAGAUAGGAGAGGAAAGGAGGGAGGAGAAGAGAGGAGAAGAGAAGUGUCCCUCCUGUUGCUGCAAACACAGAUAUAGGAUCUUCAUUUGAUCCCCCUGGUACAGGAGAACUUCCCUGCAAAGCAGGAAAAGUACAACUUGGAGUGUAUUUGAGGUUUAAAAAGGUUUUUGAAGUUCAGAUUUUUUUUAUUUUUAAAUAAACCCCAACAGAAAACAUCCAUUAAUUAUAAUCCACAUAAUAAUUGACAUUUCCUGUUAAUGCAGGAUUAUUUUCCUGCUGUAGCAAAAUGGUUCAAAGGAAGAUCCUUCAUCAUAUGUGAGUAAGGAGAGUCACAGUUUUCUCUCAUGAUUGAUCUCAACUGAAACUGUUGCCCAACAGAAACUCAAUGUCUCUCUCUCUCUCUCUCUCAAACCUGGGAUUGUACUUUUGUCCAUCACAUCAGCUGCAAUACCGUAAAUCCCCUAAACCUAACCCUUGUCACAACCCCAACACCGUGAGGGUUAAGAACAGUUUGUGCGUGUUGACAUCCUGUGAGUUUUAUAAAUAGGUUAUAAAGUACAUCUAAAAACCACUUCAACUCUGAGCAGAGGACCGACCUCACAUUAUCUGAUGUACAUUCUUAUCCACUUACAAGAGGAAUUAUGAUAAAAUACAGAUGUGUCACCUAGUCAUCUCAGGGAUUUGAAUCAGCAACCUUCCAGGUACUGGCCCAAUGCUCUUAAUACUAGGACACACACACAACACAAAAAUCAGAUCGAUUAUAAUUUCUCUAAUAUAUAAGAAUCCUCUGACUCAGUAUCUCCAUGAUAACUUCAGAUAUACUGUAACAGUUUCUACUGAGACGCCUGCUGAAAGACUGAAACACCUGCUGAAAGACUGAAACACCUGCUGAAAGACCGAAACACCUGCUGAAAGACCGAAACACCUGCUGAAAGACUGAAUCUCCUGCUGAAAGACUGAAACACCUGCUGAAAGACCGAAACACCUGCUGAAUCUCCUGCUGAAAGACUGAAACACCUGCUGAAAGACUGAAACACCUGCUGAAAGACUGAAACACCUGCUGAAAGACUGAAACACCUGCUGAAAGACUGAAACACCUGCUGAAAGACUGAAACACCUGCUGAAAGACUGAAUCACCUGCUGAAAGACUGAAACACCUGCUGAAAGACUGAAACACCUGCUGAAAGACUGAAACACCUGGUAAUGAAUAAAUCACCUGCUGAAAGACUGAAUCUCCUGCUGAAAGACUGAAUCACCUGCUGAAAGGACUGAAUCUCCUGCUGAAAGACUGAAACACCUGCUGAAAGACUGAAACGCCUGCUGAAAGACUGAAACACCUGCUGAAAGACUGAAACACCUGCUGAAAGACUGAAUCACCUGCUGAAAGACUGAAACACCUGCUGAAAGACUGAAACACCUGGUAAUGAAUAAAUCACCUGCUGAAAGACUGAAUCUCCUGCUGAAAGACUGAAUCACCUGCUGAAAGACUGAAUCUCCUGCUGAAAGACUGAAACACCUGCUGAAAGACUGAAACACCUGGUAAUGAAUAAAUCACCUGCUGAAAGACUGAAUCACCUGCUGAAAGACUGAAUCUCCUACUGAAGACUGAAACACCUGCUGAAAGACUGAAACACCUGCUGAAAGACUGAAACACCUGCUGAAAGACUGAAUCACCUGCUGAAAGACUGAAUCUCCUGCUGAAAGACUGAAUCUCCUGCGGAAAGACUGAAACACCUGCUGAAAGACUGAAAACACCUGGUAAUGAAUAAAUCACCUGCUGAAAGACUGAAACACCUGCUGAAAGACUGAAACACCUGCUGAAGGACUGAAACACCUGGUAAUGAAUAAAUCACCUGCUGAAAGACUGAAAGACUGCUGAAGACU
RNAcentral lists this long non-coding RNA (3247 nucleotides) under Oncorhynchus kisutch (coho salmon). RNAcentral's name for it is "lncRNA (ENSOKIG00005024385.1)". Lineage: Eukaryota; Metazoa; Chordata; Actinopteri; Salmoniformes; Salmonidae. The record is from RNAcentral.